GAGUUUGAUCAUGGCUCAGAUUGAACGCUGGCGGCAUGCCUUACACAUGCAAGUCGAACGGCAGCAUGAUCUAGCUUGCUAGAUUGAUGGCGAGUGGCGAACGGGUGAGUAAUACAUCGGAACGUGCCCUGUAGUGGGGAGUAACUAGUCGAAGAUUAGCUAAUACCGCAUACGACCUGAGGGUGGAAAGUGGGGGACCGGCCAAGGCCUCAUGCUAUAGGAGCGGCCGAUGUCUGAUUAGCUAGUUGGUGGGGUAAAGGGCCCACCAAGGCGACGAUCAGUAGCUGGUCUGAGAGGACGAUCAGCCACACUGGGACUGAGACACGGCCCAGACUCCUACGGGAGGCAGCAGUGGGGAAUUUUGGACAAUGGGCGAAAGCCUGAUCCAGCAAUGCCGCGUGUGCGAAGAAGGCCUCGG
Molecule: ribosomal RNA, 418 nt
Filed under: uncultured microorganism
Description: bacterial SSU rRNA
Rfam family: Bacterial small subunit ribosomal RNA
Source: RNAcentral